This 503-nucleotide ribosomal RNA is filed under the name Salmonella enterica subsp. enterica serovar Kentucky. RNAcentral's name for it is "partial 23S ribosomal RNA". It matches the Rfam family "Bacterial large subunit ribosomal RNA", at positions 1254 to 1757 of the family's 2925-position model. Lineage: Bacteria; Pseudomonadati; Pseudomonadota; Gammaproteobacteria; Enterobacterales; Enterobacteriaceae. The record is from RNAcentral.
AGGUGGCCUGUGAGGGUUGCUGGAGGUAUCAGAAGUGCGAAUGCUGACAUAAGUAACGAUAAAGCGGGUGAAAAGCCCGCUCGCCGGAAGACCAAGGGUUCCUGUCCAACGUUAAUCGGGGCAGGGUGAGUCGACCCCUAAGGCGAGGCCGAAAGGCGUAGUCGAUGGGAAACGGGUUAAUAUUCCCGUACUUGGUGUUACUGCGAAGGGGGGACGGAGAAGGCUAUGUUGGCCGGGCGACGGUUGUCCCGGUUUAAGCGUGUAGGUGUGUGUUCCAGGUAAAUCCGGUUCACUUUAACACUGAGGCGUGAUGACGAGGCACUACGGUGCUGAAGCAACAAAUGCCCUGCUUCCAGGAAAAGCCUCUAAGCAUCAGGUAACAUCAAAUCGUACCCCAAACCGACACAGGUGGUCAGGUAGAGAAUACCAAGGCGCUUGAGAGAACUCGGGUGAAGGAACUAGGCAAAAUGGUGCCGUAACUUCGGGAGAAGGCACGCUGACAC